AUGCAAGUCGAGCGAAUGGAUUAAGAGCUUGCUCUUAUGAAGUUAGCGGCGGACGGGUGAGUAACACGUGGGUAACCUGCCCAUAAGACUGGGAUAACUCCGGGAAACCGGGGCUAAUACCGGAUAAYAUUUUGAACUGCAUGGUUCGAAAUUGAAAGGCGGCUUCGGCUGUCACUUAUGGAUGGACCCGCGUCGCAUUAGCUAGUUGGUGAGGUAACGGCUCACCAAGGCAACGAUGCGUAGCCGACCUGAGAGGGUGAUCGGCCACACUGGGACUGAGACACGGCCCAGACUCCUACGGGAGGCAGCAGUAGGGAAUCUUCCGCAAUGGACGAAAGUCUGACGGAGCAACGCCGCGUGAGUGAUGAAGGCUUUCGGGUCGUAAAACUCUGUUGUUAGGGAAGAACAAGUGCUAGUUGAAUAAGCUGGCACCUUGACGGUACCUAACCAGAAAGCCACGGCUAACUACG
This 470-nucleotide ribosomal RNA is filed under the name Bacilli bacterium. Its description in RNAcentral is "bacterial SSU rRNA". It matches the Rfam family "Bacterial small subunit ribosomal RNA", at positions 55 to 505 of the family's 1533-position model. The record is from RNAcentral. Lineage: Bacteria; Bacillati; Bacillota; Bacilli.